Non-coding RNA from Neofelis nebulosa (Clouded leopard), 691 nucleotides. Lineage: Eukaryota; Metazoa; Chordata; Mammalia; Carnivora; Felidae. The record is from the annotation of a RefSeq genome assembly.
CAACAGAUCAAGAGGUGAAGGGAGAGGUGAAGGGAGGCUCUGCUCAGCUGUGAGGCAACAGAAGGCAGGAUUGGUGCUGACCUCCGCCAUGGCCUGGUCCCCUCUCCUCCUCACCCUCCUCGCUCACUGCACAGGGAUUUGGGCUCAGUCGGGGCCGAAUCAACCAUCCUCAGUGUCUGGGGCCCUGGGCCAGAGGGUCACUAUCUCCUGCACUGGAGUUGGUAGUUACGUGUACUGGUACCAACAAAUCCCAGGAAUGGCCCCCAAAACCAUCAUCUAUUAUGAUAGCAACCGACCCUCAGGGGUCCCUGAUCGAUUCUCCGGCUCCAAGUCUGGCAGCACAGGCACCCUGACCAUCACUGGGCUCCAGGCCGAGGACGAGGCUGAUUAUUACUGCUUAUCAUGGUACAGCAGUGGCAGUGCUUACACAGUGGUCCAGGCCUGUGGGGAACCUGUGCUGACCCAGCCGCCCUCCAUCCCUGCAUCUCCAGAAGCAACGGCCGGACUCACCUGCGCCAUGAACAGUGGAUUUCGUGUUUGCAGCUACUACAUAGACAGGUUCCAGAGAAGCCAGGGAGCCCUCCCUGAUCCUGGCAGUGGGAGCAGCUUUCCUUACAGUGUCUCAGACAAGGAGGGAGUGACACAAAAACACUUGGGGCUGAAAGCCUUGUCUCCGAACAUCCUGUACUGA